Y RNA from Callithrix jacchus (white-tufted-ear marmoset), 113 nucleotides. It matches the Rfam family "Y RNA". From Rfam's summary of the family: Y RNAs are components of the Ro ribonucleoprotein particle (Ro RNP), in association with Ro60 and La proteins. The Y RNAs and Ro60 and La proteins are well conserved, but the function of the Ro RNP is not known. In humans the RNA component can be one of four small RNAs -- hY1, hY3, hY4 and hY5. Lineage: Eukaryota; Metazoa; Chordata; Mammalia; Primates; Cebidae. The record is from Ensembl.
GGCUGGUCCAAAAGCAGUGAGUUAUCUCAACUGAUCGUUUACGGUCAGUUACAGAUCGAACUCCUUGUUCUACUCUUUCCCCCCUUGUCACUACUACACUUGACUAGUCUUUA